GAACAUUGCGCAAUGGGGGGAACCCUGACGCAGCAACUCCGCGUGAGGGAAGAAGGCNNNCGGGUNGUAAAACUCUGCCAUCGNGGANAAAAAAAAAGACGUUACCCAGUGACGAAGCUCCGGCUAACUAGGUUCCAGUAGCCGCGGUAAUACGUGGGGGGUAAACGUUGUCCGGAAUUACUGGGCGUAAAGGGUGCGUAGGCGGCCUAAAAAGUCUGAUGUGAAAUACCGAGGCUCAACCUCGGAGGUGCAUUUGAAACUGUUGGGCUUGAGUGCAGGAGAGGAAAGUGGAAUUCCUAGUGUAGCGGUGAAAUGCGUAGAGAUUAGGAGGAACACCAGUGGCGAAGGCGACUUUCUGGACUGUAACUGACGCUGAGGCACGAAAGCGUGGGGAGCAAAC
Molecule: ribosomal RNA, 400 nt
Filed under: uncultured bacterium
Lineage: Bacteria
Description: partial 16S ribosomal RNA
Rfam family: Bacterial small subunit ribosomal RNA
Source: RNAcentral